AUUUAAAUGAUGAUAACUUCAACUGAAUUUUUAAACUGGUUCUAUUUUUGAAACAGUUAAAAAUAUUUUUGAUGUUCGCAUUUUGCGAGGCAUUUGUCUGAUUUUUUA
Molecule: small nucleolar RNA, 108 nt
Organism: Condylostylus longicornis
Lineage: Eukaryota; Metazoa; Arthropoda; Insecta; Diptera; Dolichopodidae
Product: small nucleolar RNA Me28S-Am2589
Exons: 1
Source: RefSeq, a predicted model, not a curated record